GCGAAAGUAGUUCAGCGGUAGAACACCACCUUGCCAAGGUGGGGGUCGCGGGUUCGAAUCCCGUCUUUCGCU
RNAcentral lists this transfer RNA (72 nucleotides) under Pontibacillus halophilus JSM 076056 = DSM 19796. It matches the Rfam family "tRNA". From Rfam's summary of the family: Transfer RNA (tRNA) molecules are approximately 80 nucleotides in length. Their secondary structure includes four short double-helical elements and three loops (D, anti-codon, and T loops). Lineage: Bacteria; Bacillati; Bacillota; Bacilli; Caryophanales; Bacillaceae. The record is from Rfam by way of RNAcentral. RNAcentral also lists the same sequence under 1 other name.